RNAcentral lists this ribosomal RNA (301 nucleotides) under uncultured bacterium. RNAcentral describes it as "partial 16S ribosomal RNA". It matches the Rfam family "Bacterial small subunit ribosomal RNA", at positions 509 to 807 of the family's 1533-position model. The record is from RNAcentral.
CAGUAGCCACGGUAAUACGAAGGGUGCAAGCGUUACUCGGAAUUACUGGGCGUAAAGCGUGCGUAGGUGGUGGUUUAAGUCCGUUGUGAAAGCCCUGGGCUCAACCUGGGAAUUGCAGUGGAUACUGGGUCACUAGAGUGUGGUAGAGGAUAGUGGAAUUUCCGGUGUAGCAGUGAAAUGCGUAGAGAUCGGAAGGAACAUCUGUGGCGAAGGCGACUAUCUGGGCCAACACUGACAAUGAGGCACGAAAGCGUGGGGAGCAAACAGGAUUAGAUACCCCAGUAGUCCCUGUCUCUUAUAC